AACGUAGGAGACAAACGUUAUCCGGAGUUACUGGGCGUAAAGGGCGUGCAGGCGGUUUUUUAAGUUCGUCGUGAAAUCGCCCGGAUUAACCGGGCGGGGUCGAUGGAUACUGGGAGGCUUGAGGGCGGUAGAGGCGUGUGGAAUUCCGGGUGUAGUGGUGAAAUGCGUAGAUAUCCGGAGGAACACCAGUGGCGAAGGCGACACGCUGGGCCGUACCUGACGCUAAGACGCGACAGCAUGGGGAGCGAACGGG
Molecule: ribosomal RNA, 253 nt
Filed under: uncultured bacterium
Lineage: Bacteria
Description: partial 16S ribosomal RNA
Rfam family: Bacterial small subunit ribosomal RNA
Source: RNAcentral